This 872-nucleotide long non-coding RNA is filed under the name Gossypium barbadense (sea-island cotton). RNAcentral's name for it is "long non-coding RNA (GBAR_LNC015709)". Lineage: Eukaryota; Viridiplantae; Streptophyta; Magnoliopsida; Malvales; Malvaceae. The record is from RNAcentral.
CCGCAGUUGGAAUCCUUUUGUUCAAAGUAAUCUGGUUGGAUUAGGGCAAGCCGACGACAAAGGGGAUGGUAGAAUUGUUGUUGUAAGUAAAAGAAUAUUGUGGUACAAAUGUACAAAAUUUGGCCCCUUUCCCAUUAUUGCCAACAAGCAGCACUGGAUAACUUCGAAGAUUAAGUUUUGGAAGGGUAGGAAGCUGCUUGGAACCUUCCCUUGUCAAAGCUAGUUGUCAUUGUCAAUGCCCUAUGUCUAUGUGUGAGCUUAUGUAUUACAUACCUUAGAAAAUGAUGCAAAAUCUUUUUCUUUUCUGUUUUUCUUAAUACUGAUAUUUAACGAUGAGGAUCAUUUAAAUCAAGAAUUCGUGGAAGACGAUAAGGUAAAAGAAAGGGAUAGAAAAUUGUCAAAUUGCAAGUACGAUAAGGAGAUGCAAGUUGGUUUUAAGCUACAGUGGGCCGCCAAACCAAGCAAGCACAGAAGUUAUGACUGACGGUGACCCCAUCCAACGCCGACUCAUAUUUGUUUUGGAGGCCUACUUAACUGAGGCAUAUUGCCAAAUAUUAGGCCUACUAAGCAGAUGUUGGUGUGAUAAGCAAGUUCAGCCCACGAUCCGAAACUGGCCUUCCAAAUACCAUUUUGGGUCUAAACAGAUCAUCUUGGACUUGCAUAUUUUUAUCAAUUUUCUCCCUUCAUUGGACGUGAGAAAGGUGGCUGUUUUGGGUUUAAGCUCUCUUUUUUCUUUCUUUCUUUUUUUUUUUUUCAGUAUUCAUGUGGUUAAAGUGACAUACAUUUUAUAAAUCUAGUUGUUCUCUUUUUCUUUUUCAAACUAAAUCUGUGUAUGUAAUAAUUUUAUUUUAAAAACAAUAAUUCAAUCAUUA